GGCCGUUUCACGCCUUUGGGUGCCGUUGGCUUGAUAGGGAAUCCCGUGCAACCCGGGAGCGGACCCGCCGCCGUAAGCCCUUGAUGCGUCUGCCUCUUUCAUGUGCCACUGGGAGCGAUCCUGGGAAGGCCGGGGCAGGUGGGGCGAGCCGGAAGACCUGCCUGAAGGUGUGCUGUUUC
RNAcentral lists this non-coding RNA (179 nucleotides) under Megalodesulfovibrio gigas. The record is from RNAcentral. Lineage: Bacteria; Pseudomonadati; Thermodesulfobacteriota; Desulfovibrionia; Desulfovibrionales; Desulfovibrionaceae. RNAcentral also lists the same sequence under 1 other name.